CGUGAUCAUGAGGGGUUGUGAAGUGCUUGCCCCAUCAGUAGCCAUGUGUGCAUGUGUAAAUACCAUCCUCUGUGUGCCCUGGAGGCUGUCCUUCAGAUAGCAUGUACAGGUGGCAGCAUAGGGCCUGUCCCUAGUGAGAGUGCAGGGAACUCAGCACCGUCAACUCCUCGACCCUGCAGGUCAGAUUAUCCUUGUAGAGGCCCCCUGGAUGGCACCAAGAUCGGCCCUGGCAAGCAGGUGACCCUGACUUCAGAGCCCUUGCCUGAGGGCCUGGCCUGGCAGCUCUGCUGUUAGAAGCAGGAGGUGUGCAGGGGGUGGGGAGCAGCCCAGCCUCUGUGAUCUUCUCCAUGGCAGGAUCUCCCAGCAGGUAGAGCAGAGCCGGAGCCAGGUGCAGGCCAUUGGAGAGAAGGUCUCCUUGGCCCAGGCCAAGAUUGAGAAGAUCAAGGGCAGCAAGAAGGCCAUCAAGGUAGUCCCCAUGCCCCUGUGUCCUGAGGCUACUGGGCAGUCCCUCUAUUUCCCCGUGCCUCUGAGGCUGCCCAGUCUCUGCCCUGCUGCCCACCUGUACCUUGGGCUUUCUUCUCGCCCAGGCUUCCAACUCCACCCUCUCCUGCCAAGCAAUCCUAGCCCUCUGAGCCUCUUGGGGCCCCCUCAGACUUGUCCCUGUGUCCACAGGUGUUCUCCAGUGCCAAGUACCCUGCUCCAGAGCGCCUGCAGGAAUAUGGCUCCAUCUUCACCGACGCCCAGGACCCUGGCCUGCAGAGACGCCCCCGCCACAGGAUCCAGAGCAAGCAGCGCCCCCUGGACGAGCGGGCCCUGCAAGUCUGCUGGCUGCGCACAUAACUUAGCCUGUCACACACCAGGAGGACUGGAUACUGGGGAGGAGCCGGGGCCACCAAGGGUUCUGUCCCCCAGAGGAGGCUGACUGGGAUGGGGUGGCAGCUGAUUAGGCCCAGCACCAAAUAUUCACCAUCCCUUGGCCAUCCUGGCCCUCCCAGGAGAAGCUGAAGGACUUUCCUGUGUGCGUGAGCACCAAGCCAGAGCCCGAGGACGAUGCAGAAGAGGGACUUGGGGGUCUUCCCAGCAACAUCAGCUCUGUCAGCUCCUUGCUGCUCUUCAACACCACCGAGAACCUGUAUGGCCAGAAGGCAGGGCCGAGGGGUGUGGGCGGUAGGCCCGGCCUGGCUUAGUGGGGACCCAGGGCAUCAGACACAGGUACAGCACAUAGCCCAGGAGCCAGGGGGUGACUGGGGUGGCUCGGCUCGGGAGGCCUGGGACCCCACAGUGCACACUGUGCCCCUGAUGAUGUGGGAGAGGAACAUGGGCUCAGGACAGCGGGUGUCAGCUUGCCUGACCCCCAUGUCGCCUCUGUAGGUACAAGAAGUAUGUCUUCCUGGACCCCCUGGCUGGUGCUGUAACAAAGACCCAUGUGAUGCUGGGGGCAGAGACAGAGGAGAAGCUGUUUGAUGCCCCCUUGUCCAUCAGCAAGAGAGAGCAGCUGGAACAGCAGGUGGGAGGGGCGGGACAGAGGUGGAGAUAGGUGCAGUGGCCCAGGGCCUUGCCAGAGCUCCUCUCCAGUCAAGGCUGUUGGGCCCCUUAUUCCACCCAUGGGAGGUGCACACAAGGUCUUGUUGGCUGCCCCUGCAGGUCCCUGUCACCUCUCACAUGUCCCUGCCUAAUCUUGCAGGUCCCAGAGAACUACUUCUAUGUGCCAGACCUGGGCCAGGUGCCUGAGAUUGAUGUUCCAUCCUACCUGCCUGACCUGCCCGGCAUUGCCAACGACCUCAUGUACAUUGCCGACCUGGGCCCCGGCAUUGCCCCCUCUGCCCCUGGCACCAUUCCAGAACUGCCCACCUUCCACACUGAGGUAGCCGAGCCUCUCAAGACCUACAAGAUGGGGUACUAACACCACCCCCACCGCCCCCACCACCACCCCCAGCUCCUGAGGUGCUGGCCAGUGCACCCCCACUCCCACCCUCAACCGCGGCCCCUGUAGGCCAAGGCGCCAGGCAGGACGACAGCAGCAGCAGCGCAUCUCCUUCAGGUGGGAGCAGCUCUUUGAGGCCACCUGAUUUCUGGCGUGCUCAGUGCACUCGGGUGGAUUUUCUGUGGGUUUGUUAAGUGGUCAGAAAUUCUCAAUUUUUUGAAUAGUUUCCAUUUCAAAUAUCUUGUUCUACUUGGUUCAUAAAAUAGUGGCUUUCAAACUGUAGAGCUCUGGACUUCUCACUUCUAGGGCAGAGGGAGCCUGAACAAGUGAGGCUCUGGGUUCCUCAUUCCUAAUUAAACCAAUGGAAAGAAGGGGUCUAAUAACAAACUACAGCAACACAUUUUUCAUUUCAGCUUCACUGCUGUAUCUCCCAGUGUAACCCUAGCAUCCAGAAGUGGCACAAAACCCCUCUGCUGGCUCAUGUGUGCAACUGAGACUGUCAGAGCAUGGCUAGCUCAGGGGUCCAGCUCUGCAGGGUGAGGGCUAGAGAGGAAGCAGGGAGUAUCUGCACACAGGAUGCCCGCGCUCAGGUGGUUGCCGAAGUCAGUGCCCGGGCCCCACACAGUCUCCAAAGGUCCGGCCUCCCCAGCGCGGGGCUCCUCGUUUGAGGGGAGGUGACUUCCCUCCCAGCAGGCUCUUGGACACAGUAAGCUUCCCCAGCCCUGCCUGAGCAGCCUUUCCUCCUUGCCCUGUUCCCCACCUCCCGGCUCCAGUCCAGGGAGCUCCCAGAGAAGUGGUCGACCCCUCCGGUGGCUGGGCCACUCUGCUAGAGUCCAUCCGCCAAGCUGGGGGCAUCGGCAAGGCCAAGCUGCGCAGCAUGAAGGAGCGAAAGCUGGAGAAGCAGCAGCAGAAGGAGCAGGAGCAAGGUGAGCGGGCCCUGGAGCCUGCGGUCGGAGGGCCUUUGGGCAAGAUCGCCUCCUCCCCUCCAGCCCUGAGUCCACCGGGUGCUUUCUGCCCACCCCCUGCUCCUGCCAGCUGGCCCCUGCUUCCCCUAGGGCACAUGCUGGAAGCCCUGGGCCGCCACCAGAGGUCCUCAGCCCUCCUGCCUGGGCUAUGGCUCCUUCCUGGUUUGGGAGCCAUAGUGGAGCUUUCCUCUCUAAGCUCACCCAGCUCAAACUGUGACAGGAGAAUCUUCUUCGACUGCCAAGAGCGGUCCAAGGCAAUGGUCAGCCACUGCAGCCUCCUGAGAUAUUUUUAGAGACUGGACCUGAGGCCUCUGGAGGCUACUGAUGAUGCCUGCUGUGAACGCAGACACUGGUGUGAUGCGAUGCCUGCGCCUGCAGCGGCAGUGCCCUGGGCACUAUGGUUUUGAGCUUGUACCCAGCGCUGCUUUUGCCUUGCUCUGUGACCCCAGGCAAGCUGCCUCACCUCUCUGGGCCAGUUUCCCCAUCGUACAGUGGUGCUGCACACCCUGGCCCUGUCCCCGAGGUGGCUGGGAGGUGGCUCCUCAAACAGCCACUUUCUCAUCAGUGCCCGGUGCUGGGUCAGGCAUCGACUGAGGCUCUGAGCUAACUAGGAAACACAGUGGCCUUGGAGGGCUGGGGAGUGUCAUGGGGGUGGGGACAGGGAGCCACCGGUCGCAUGUGACUGAACUCUUCACCCCAGUCUGUGGCUUUCCCGUUGCAGUGAGAGCCACGAGCCAAGGUGGGCACUUGAUGUCGGAUCUCUUCAACAAGCUGGUCAUGAGGCGCAAGGGUAGGAGGCAGGGCCGCUGCCCACCCUGGGCCGGCACAUUGUAAUUCUGUCCUGCCUUUUUCUUCCUGUAUUUAAGUCUCCGGGGGCUGGGGGAACCAGGGUUUCCCACCAACCACCCUCACUCAGCCUUUUCCCUCCAGGCAUCUCUGGGAAAGGACCUGGGGCUGGUGACGGGCCCGGAGGAGCCUUUGCCCGCGUGUCAGACUCCAUCCCUCCUCUGCCGCCACCGCAGCAGCCACAGGCAGAGGACGAGGACGACUGGGAAUCGUAGGGGGCUCCAUGACACCUUCCCCCCCAGACCCAGACUUGGCCGUUGCUCUGACAUGGACACAGCCAGGACAAGCUGCUCAGACCUGCUUCCCUGGGAGGGGGUGACGGAACCAGCACUGUGUGGAGACCAGCUUCAAGGAGCGGAAGGCUGGCUUGAGGCCACACAGCUGGGGCGGGGACUUCUGUCUGCCUGUGCUCCAUGGGGGGACGGCUCCACCCAGCCUGCGCCACUGUGUUCUUCUCUUAAGAGGCUUCCAGAGAAAACGGCACACCAAUCAAUAAAGAACUGAGCAG
Molecule: long non-coding RNA, 4243 nt
Filed under: Homo sapiens (human)
Lineage: Eukaryota; Metazoa; Chordata; Mammalia; Primates; Hominidae
Description: non-protein coding lnc-POLR3K-3:4
Source: RNAcentral